UACAGAGGUCCCAAGCGUUGUUCGGAAUUACUGGGCGUAAAGGGCGCGUAGGCGGCCUUCUAAGUCGAACGUGAAAUCCCCGGGCUCAACCCGGGAACUGCGUCCGAGACUGAAAGGCUCGAAUCCGGGAGAGGGAUGUGGAAUUCCAGGUGUAGCGGUGAAAUGCGUAGAUAUCUGGAGGAACAUCGGUGGCGAAGGCGGCAUCCUGGACCGGUAUUGACGCUGAGGCGCGAAAGCCAGGGGAGCAAACGGG
Molecule: ribosomal RNA, 253 nt
Filed under: uncultured bacterium
Lineage: Bacteria
Description: partial 16S ribosomal RNA
Rfam family: Bacterial small subunit ribosomal RNA
Source: RNAcentral